Molecule: ribosomal RNA, 154 nt
Filed under: Elatostema longibracteatum
Lineage: Eukaryota; Viridiplantae; Streptophyta; Magnoliopsida; Rosales; Urticaceae
Also listed under: 1 other name
Description: 5.8S ribosomal RNA
Rfam family: 5.8S ribosomal RNA (bases 21-154)
About the family: 5.8S ribosomal RNA (5.8S rRNA) is a component of the large subunit of the eukaryotic ribosome.
Source: RNAcentral
CGAGUUCAAUAUGUCAAAAUGACUCUCGGCAACGGAUAUCUCGGCUCUUGCAUCGAUGAAGAACGUAGCAAAAUGCGAUACGUGGUGUGAAUUGCAGAAUUCCGUGAACCAUCGAGUUUUUGAACGCAAGUUGCGCCCAAUGUCAUUUGGCUGA